Cercocebus atys (sooty mangabey) is the source of this 257-nucleotide long non-coding RNA. RefSeq lists it as uncharacterized. The record is from RefSeq and is a predicted model, not a curated record. Lineage: Eukaryota; Metazoa; Chordata; Mammalia; Primates; Cercopithecidae. The transcript is spliced from 3 exons.
CAGCGUCUUUCAGGGCCUGUGGUUAAGCGGCUCCGAAAACACUGUUGCUGGUGGACCGGCUCGGGGUCUUGACUUCGCCAUCCAAAAGAACUUGAGAGCACGUCCAAAGUAAAGCUAAGACCUCUAGUACAGUGUUCAAUGGAACUGGUGAGAGAAGACGUGCUUGCUGUGUUCCUGAUAUGAAGAGGAAAGCAGUCCUUUUCCAUUGAAUAACUUCUAAUGUCCUCUCUUCAAGUUUCCAAAUCCUUCCGAUAUCC